GUGAUAUGCAUUGUGAAUUGCAGAAUUCCGUGAGCCAAUAGAUGUUUGAACGUAAUUUGCACCUUCG
Molecule: ribosomal RNA, 67 nt
Filed under: Alexandrium cf. minutum
Lineage: Eukaryota; Dinophyceae; Gonyaulacales; Pyrocystaceae
Description: partial 5.8S ribosomal RNA
Source: RNAcentral